RNAcentral lists this unclassified non-coding RNA (209 nucleotides) under Hevea brasiliensis (rubber tree). Lineage: Eukaryota; Viridiplantae; Streptophyta; Magnoliopsida; Malpighiales; Euphorbiaceae. The record is from RNAcentral.
AAAAGAUUUGCGAGAUAUGGAGUCUUCUCUCAAAGAGUUGAAGGACCAAGCAGUUGAUCGACUGGCAGAAUUAAACAGUCUACAUGAAGGACGACUCAAAAUGCUUCGACAGUUAUCUGAUAUUCAGAAUACAAUGAAGAGUGUGAAGUCCAUUUCAUCUUCACAAUCAUAUCUUUUAUUGCAAGAUUGGAUAGAAAAAUUAAAAUCGG